CAAGUCUGUAUCCUGCAAGGUGGACCUGAUUUUCAUGGCUUUCUCUCUUUCUCUAACUCUACCUUUCCAGGACUCUGUCCUUCCAGAAAGGAGGAAAUGACCAAGUUCCAGAUUUGUUGGAUUUAUUGUGAGAUAUUUCUCUGCAUACUUGAUGUGAGCAUCAUUAAGGUACGUAAGAUGGGUUAUUCAUCUUUUAUGCUCUGAUUGCUUUGUUCCCUUUACCAAAAUAUCUACAUGUUUAAUUGGUACAAUAAAUUGUUAAAUU
RNAcentral lists this long non-coding RNA (265 nucleotides) under Neogale vison (American mink). RNAcentral describes it as "Neovison vison (American mink) lncRNA (ENSNVIG00000019969.1)". The record is from RNAcentral. Lineage: Eukaryota; Metazoa; Chordata; Mammalia; Carnivora; Mustelidae.